UGCAGUCGAGCGGAAGGCCCUUCGGGGUACUCGAGCGGCGAACGGGUGAGUAACACGUGAGUAACCUGCCCCCGACUCUGGGAUAAGCCCGGGAAACUGGGUCUAAUACCGGAUACGACCACUUCCCGCAUGGGAUGGUGGUGGAAAGUUUUUUCGGUUGGGGAUGGACUCGCGGCCUAUCAGCUUGUUGGUGGGGUAACGGCCUACCAAGGCGACGACGGGUAGCCGGCCUGAGAGGGCGACCGGCCACACUGGGACUGAGACACGGCCCAGACUCCUACGGGAGGCAGCAGUGGGGAAUAUUGCGCAAUGGGCGAAAGCCUGACGCAGCGACGCCGCGUGGGGGAUGACGGCCUUCGGGUUGUAAACCUCUUUCAGCAGGGACGAAGUUGACGUGUACCUGCAGAAGAAGCGCCGGCUAACUACGUGCCAGCAGCCGCGGUAAUACGUAGGGCGCAAGCGUUGUCCGGAAUUAUUGGGCGUAAAGAGCUCGUAGGUGGCUUGUCACGUCGGGUGUGAAAGCUUGGGGCUUAACUCCAGGUCUGCAUUCGAUACGGGCUGGCUAGAGGUAGGUAGGGGAGAACGGAAUUCCUGGUGUAGCGGUGAAAUGCGCAGAUAUCAGGAGGAACACCGGU
RNAcentral lists this ribosomal RNA (635 nucleotides) under Streptosporangium sp. YIM 67226. RNAcentral's name for it is "bacterial SSU rRNA". It matches the Rfam family "Bacterial small subunit ribosomal RNA", at positions 56 to 713 of the family's 1533-position model. The record is from RNAcentral. Lineage: Bacteria; Bacillati; Actinomycetota; Actinomycetes; Streptosporangiales; Streptosporangiaceae.